CUUACACAUGCAAGUCGAACGAGAUCCAAUGUGUAGCAAUACACAGGAAGAUCUAGUGGCGAACGGGUGAGGAACACGUGAGAAACGUACCCCGGACUCUGGGAUAACAAUUCGAAAGGAUUGCUAAUACCAGAUGACGUCGGAAGUCCGCAUGGACAUCUGACGAAAGGGAUUCCGGUUUGGGAGCGUCUCGCGGACCUAUCAGCUAGUUGGAGGGGUAACGGCCCACCAAGGCAGCGACGGGUAGCUGGUCUGAGAGGAUGGUCAGCCACACUGGGACUGAGACACGGCCCAGACUCCUACGGGAGGCAGCAGUGGGGAAUCUUGCACAAUGGAGGAAACUCUGAUGCAGCGAUGCCGCGUGAGUGAAGAAGGCCUUUGGGUUGUAAAGCUCUUUUGUAGGGGAAGAUAAUGACUGUACCCUAAGAAUAAGGUCCGGCUAACUUCGUGCCAGCAGCCGCGGUAAUACGAAGGGACCUAGCGUAGUUCGGAAUUACUGGGCGUAAAGCGCGCGUAGGCCGUUGAGUUAGUUAAUUGUGAAAUCCCAAAGCUUAACUUUGGAACUGCAAUUAAAACUGCUCGACUAGAGUUUGAUAGAGGAAAGCGGAAUACAUAGUGUAGAGGUGAAAUUCGUAGAUAUUAUGUAGAACACCAGUUGCGAAGGCGGCUUUCUGGAUCAACACUGACGCUGAGGCGCGAAAGUAUGGGUAGCAAAGAGGAUUAGAUACCCUCGUAGUCCAUACCAUAAACGAUGAUUGCUAGAUGUUGGAAAUUUAUUUUCAGUAUCGCAGCUAACGCAUUAAGCAAUCCGCCUGGGGAGUACGACCGCAAGGUUAAAACUCAAAUGA
RNAcentral lists this ribosomal RNA (848 nucleotides) under uncultured Pseudomonadota bacterium. RNAcentral's name for it is "bacterial SSU rRNA". It matches the Rfam family "Bacterial small subunit ribosomal RNA", at positions 48 to 908 of the family's 1533-position model. Lineage: Bacteria; Pseudomonadati; Pseudomonadota. The record is from RNAcentral.